Molecule: ribosomal RNA, 753 nt
Filed under: uncultured Glomus
Lineage: Eukaryota; Fungi; Glomeromycota; Glomeromycetes; Glomerales; Glomeraceae
Description: SSU rRNA
Rfam family: Eukaryotic small subunit ribosomal RNA
Source: RNAcentral
GGCCUACCAUGGUGGUAACGGGUAACGGGGUGUUAGGGCACGACACCGGAGAGGGAGCCUGAGAAACGGCUACCACAUCCAAGGAUGGCAGCAGGCGCGCAAAUUACCCAAUCCCGACACGGGGAGGUAGUGACAAUAAAUAACAAUACGGGGUUCUUUCGGAUCUCGUAAUUGGAAUGAGUACAAUUUAAAUCUCUUAACGAGGAACAAUUGGAGGGCAAGUCUGGUGCCAGCAGCCGCGGUAAUUCCAGCUCCAAUAGCGUAUAUUAAAGUUGUUGCAGUUAAAAAGCUCGUAGUUGAAUUUCGGGGUCAGUAGGUUGGUCGUGCCACAGGUAUGAACUGGUCUCACUGAUUCCUCCUUCCUGAUGAACCGUAAUGCCAUUAAUUUGGUGUUGCGGGGAGACUGGACUGUUACUUUGAAAAAAUUAGAGUGUUUAAAGCAGGCUAACGCUUGAAUACAUUAGCAUGGAAUAAUGAAAUAGGACGUUCGGUCUUAUUUUGUUGGUUUCUAAGAUUGACGUAAUGAUUAAUAGGGAUAGUUGGGGGCAUUAGUAUUCAAUUGUCAGAGGUGAAAUUCUUGGAUUUAUUGAAGACUAACUACUGCGAAAGCAUUUGCCAAGGAUGUUUUCAUUAAUCAAGAACGAAAGUUAGGGGAUCGAAGACGAUCAGAUACCGUCGUAGUCUUAACCAUAAACUAUGCCGACUAGGGAUCGGAUGAUGUUAAUUUUUUAAUGACUCAUUCGGCGCCUUACG